AUUUUUACCCUCUGUUUUACGCAUGAGCCAAGUGAGGCUCAGAGAAGCCCAGUCAUUUGCCUAAAGGCACACAGCCAGCAGAACCAGGACUCAAACCUAGACUUAACUCUAGAGCCUAUGCUUUCAGCUGCUGUAUUGUAUGUUCUGGCCUUCUUCUAGCAGCGGUGCUCUACCAUUGCUAGACCCUUGCAGUGAGCGCCUCAUGACCUUUCCCUACGGGUGUCCAUUCACAGGAUGGGUGCCAGGCCUGAGGCCUGCAUAUAGCAGGCCUUUCUGUUUCUGAGAAGUUUGAGUUUGAGGACCCAUCUCACCAAUAGCCUGGGGCGGACACUGAGGACCUCUGGGUGGGGGUGUGCAGACAAGGCAGAUAAUAAUCAAGAUAUCCAAGAAUGACAAGGAGCAUUUACUGAAUAGGUCCCAAGAGCUGGGCCCUGAGCCUAACACUUUUCUUUCUUUUUAUAAAUAGAACUUCAGGUGGAUAAACAUUGAGUUAAUCCUAAUCCUUGCUUCAUGAGACACUGUUGUCAUUAGUUCAAACAUGCUCCACUUUUAUGUAGUUAUUGACUUAUGGAAUCAGUCAUUUUGCUAAUGUAGGAAGCACCCACAAAUCUACCAUUCACGGCAAACGCCAGGGUCUGGAUUGUAGCUGAUAUAUAACUAUGAUCCCAUGUUUUUGCCUCCCUUACCUGGGCUGAUUGCCAUCCUGAAUGCUCUAUUUGUCACAGUCUCGCUUUUCCUUCUGUUUAGUGCUAGUGCAACGAGGUACGCCCACAAAUUAAAAAAAAAAAAAUCUGUGGUUGUUUUUAACCUUAUUAAAAGGGUAUAGCAUUGUAGGUAAUCCUUUGCGACUUUUUCUUUACUAUUAUACUACCAAGAUUGACCCAUAUUGCUGUCUGUCGUGUUCGUUCAUUGUGUUGUAUGAUAUUCCAUUAUGGGAAUGUUCUCUAUGGCCGCCACUCUGUGCCUGUUACUUCAUCCAAUCUUUGCGACAGCCAUAUAUGGUAGGAGCUCUUCUUAUCCCAGUUUUACUGAGAAGAAACUGAGGCCUAGAGAGGCUAAGGAACUCUCUGGAGGUCACAAGGGCCAGGUAGGAAUUGUUCUGGCUUCUCACUGUCCACUGUGUUUUUGGUAUAGAGGAGAAAACACAGAAUCUAGAGCCACAAGCCCAGGGCUCCAGCCCCAGCUCCACACUUCCUGGCUGUGUGGCCUUAGAUGAGUUGCUUCAUGUUUCAGAGUCUCAAUUUCCUUGACGUUAAACUGGACUAAUGACAACUGCCUUUCUCUACCUCUCAGGUCUGUUGUGAGACUCAAGUCUGACACUGUGAAAAGUGGGAGCCCUGAAGUUUUCUCAGUCAGCAGACUGUGACUGAUCGUAUCUAUGCUAUCUGCUCCCCCUCUUCCCAAACAACAGAACUCUGCAGGAUUCAAGAGAUGUGACUGAACAGCCCUCCCGCUCAGAAGGCCAAGGAUGAGGCUGACAGCUCAGAGAAGCCUCUGCCUGUGAAGGAACCAGAAAAGCACCUGUAGCUGCCAUCAGGCUGCACUAUUGGGAACACAGAUGGACAGAAGCCAGGAGCCAGAGGGAAAGUGGUACGGACGGAACUGGGACUCCAUUCGAAUUCAUUAAGAGCCCCUGGGGUUCAGGGACCCUGAGCCCCCCCUCUGUAACCCCUCAGUGCUGCACCUGGUUGCUGGCUGGCGGUGAGGAAACACGAUCAGUCUCUCUGGCUUCUCGGCACACUCCUAGAUCAGUUUUCUUCGGGGUUCAAGUAGAGCUAAAAAAAAAACACUUCCCCUUGGUUUCGUAUCAGCUGCAUCUGCUCUCAGAAAACCCUUCAACAAGAAUGGGCAGGAAGAAUAAAUAUUUAUUCUACAAAUGAAUAAAUCUGAUUCCAUCUUCAAAAGAAAGCUGCAGCAUAAAUUAUCAUAAUUUCUCCAGUCUAAGAUGGCACUGAUUUAAAGAUGUUUUUAUCUGUUGAAUAACAGCUUUUUGGGGGAAAAAACAAACAGAAAAGUAACUAAUUGAUCUACCAACUGUAAGAUAUAUUCUCAUUUUUAA
This is a long non-coding RNA of Hyaena hyaena (striped hyena), 2059 nucleotides long. RefSeq lists it as uncharacterized. The transcript has 3 exons. The record is from RefSeq and is a predicted model, not a curated record. Lineage: Eukaryota; Metazoa; Chordata; Mammalia; Carnivora; Hyaenidae.